AACGAACGCUGGCGGCGCGCUUAACACAUGCAAGUCGAACGAGAAGGCGUAGCAAUACGCUUGUACAGUGGCGAACGGGUGAGUAAUACGUGGGCGACCUACCCUCGAGUGGGGAAUAACCCGCCGAAAGGCGGGCUAAUGCCGCGUACGCUUCCAUCUUUAUGGAGGUGGAAGGAAAGCCGUGCCGUGGGCACGGCGCUCAAGGAUGGGCUCACGUCCUAUCAGCUUGUUGGAGGGUAACGGCCUACCAAGGCUCCGACGGGUAGCUGGUCUGAGAGGACGAUCAGCCACACUGGCACUGCGACACGGGCCAGACUCCUACGAGAGGCAGCAGUGAGGAAUAUUGCGCAAUGGGCGAAAGCCUGACGCAGCGACGCCGC
RNAcentral lists this ribosomal RNA (380 nucleotides) under uncultured bacterium. RNAcentral's name for it is "bacterial SSU rRNA". It matches the Rfam family "Bacterial small subunit ribosomal RNA", at positions 29 to 400 of the family's 1533-position model. The record is from RNAcentral.